RNAcentral lists this ribosomal RNA (465 nucleotides) under Vreelandella stevensii. RNAcentral's name for it is "partial 16S ribosomal RNA". It matches the Rfam family "Bacterial small subunit ribosomal RNA", at positions 338 to 795 of the family's 1533-position model. Lineage: Bacteria; Pseudomonadati; Pseudomonadota; Gammaproteobacteria; Oceanospirillales; Halomonadaceae. The record is from RNAcentral.
CCUACGGGGGGCUGCAGUGGGGAAUAUUGGACAAUGGGGGGAACCCUGAUCCAGCCAUGCCGCGUGUGUGAAGAAGGCCCUCGGGUUGUAAAGCACUUUCAGUGAGGAAGAACGCCUGGUGGUUAAUACCCAUCAGGAAAGACAUCACUCACAGAAGAAGCACCGGCUAACUCCGUGCCAGCAGCCGCGGUAAUACGGAGGGUGCGAGCGUUAAUCGGAAUUACUGGGCGUAAAGCGCGCGUAGGUGGCUUGAUAAGCCGGUUGUGAAAGCCCCGGGCUCAACCUGGGAACGGCAUCCGGAACUGUCAAGCUAGAGUGCAGGAGAGGAAGGUAGAAUUCCCGGUGUAGCGGUGAAAUGCGUAGAGAUCGGGAGGAACACCAGUGGCGAAGGCGGCCUUCUGGACUGACACUGACACUGAGGUGCGAAAGCGUGGGUAGCAAACAGGAUUAGAUACCCGGGUAGUC